AGAGGUGGCAAGCGUUGUUCGGAAUUACUGGGCGUAAAGGGCGCGUAGGCGGUCUUGUAAGUCCCGUGUGAAAUCCCUCGGCUCAACUGAGGAACCGCACGGGAAACUGCUUGGCUUGAGAUCGGGAGAGGGAAGCGGAAUUCCGGGUGUAGCGGUGAAAUGCGUAGAUAUCCGGAGGAACACCGGUGGCGAAGGCGGCUUCCUGGACCGACACUGACGCUGAGGCGCGAAAGCUAGGGGAGCAAACGGGAUUAGAUACCCCGGUAGUCCUAGCUGUAAACGAUGAGUGCUGGGUGUAGGGGGUAUUGACCCCCCCUGUGCCGAAGCUAACGCAUUAAGCACUCCGCCUGGGGAGUACGGUCGCAAGGCUG
This 371-nucleotide ribosomal RNA is filed under the name uncultured bacterium. RNAcentral's name for it is "bacterial SSU rRNA". It matches the Rfam family "Bacterial small subunit ribosomal RNA", at positions 527 to 896 of the family's 1533-position model. The record is from RNAcentral.